AGAGUUUGAUCAUGGCUCAGAUUGAACGCUGGCGGCAUGCCUUACACAUGCAAGUCGAACGGCAGCACGAGAGCUUGCUCUUGGUGGCGAGUGGCGAACGGGUGAGUAAUAUAUCGGAACGUACCCUAGAGUGGGGGAUAACGUAGCGAAAGUUACGCUAAUACCGCAUACGAUCUACGGAUGAAAGUGGGGGAUCGCAAGACCUCAUGCUCAUGGAGCGGCCGAUAUCUGAUUAGCUAGUUGGUGGGGUAAAAGCUCACCAAGGCGACGAUCAGUAGCUGGUCUGAGAGGACGACCAGCCACACUGGAACUGAGACACGGUCCAGACUCCUACGGGAGGCAGCAGUGGGGAAUUUUGGACAAUGGGCGCAAGCCUGAUCCAGCAAUGCCGCGUGAGUGAAGAAGGCCUUCGGGUUGUAAAGCUCAUUUGUCAGGGAAGAAACGGUGGACUCUAAUACAGAUCACUAAUGACGGUACCUGAAGAAUAAGCACCGGCUAACUACGUGCCAGCAGCCGCGGUAAUACGUAGGGUGCAAGCGUUAAUCGGAAUUACUGGGCGUAAAGCGUGCGCAGGCGGUUGUGCAAGACAGAUGUGAAAUCCCCGGGCUCAACCUGGGAAUUGCAUUUGUGACUGCACGGCUAGAGUGUGUCAGAGGGGGGUAGAAUUCCACGUGUAGCAGUGAAAUGCGUAGAGAUGUGGAGGAAUACCGAUGGCGAAGGCAGCCCCCUGGGAUAACACUGACGCUCAUGCACGAAAGCGUGGGGAGCAAACAGGAUUAGAUACCCUGGUAGUCCACGCCCUAAACGAUGUCUACUAGUUGUCGGGUCUUAAUUGACUUGGUAACGCAGCUAACGCGUGAAGUAGACCGCCUGGGGAGUACGGUCGCAAGAUUAAAACUCAAAGGAAUUGACGGGGACCCGCACAAGCGGUGGAUGAUGUGGAUUAAUUCGAUGCAACGCGAAAAACCUUACCUACCCUUGACAUGUCUGGAAUCCUUGAGAGAUCAGGGAGUGCUCGAAAGAGAAUCAGAACACAGGUGCUGCAUGGCUGUCGUCAGCUCGUGUCGUGAGAUGUUGGGUUAAGUCCCGCAACGAGCGCAACCCUUGUCAUUAGUUGCUACGAAAGGGCACUCUAAUGAGACUGCCGGUGACAAACCGGAGGAAGGUGGGGAUGACGUCAAGUCCUCAUGGCCCUUAUGGGUAGGGCUUCACACGUCAUACAAUGGUACAUACAGAGGGCCGCCAACCCGCGAGGGGGAGCUAAUCCCAGAAAGUGUAUCGUAGUCCGGAUUGUAGUCUGCAACUCGACUACAUGAAGUUGGAAUCGCUAGUAAUCGCGGAUCAGCAUGUCGCGGUGAAUACGUUCCCGGGUCUUGUACACACCGCCCGUCACACCAUGGGAGCGGGUUUCACCAGAAGUGGGUAGCCUAACCGCAAGGAGGGCGCUCACCACGGUGGGAUUCGUGACUGGGGUGAAGUCGUAACAAGGUA
Molecule: ribosomal RNA, 1491 nt
Filed under: metagenome
Description: bacterial SSU rRNA
Rfam family: Bacterial small subunit ribosomal RNA
Source: RNAcentral